Molecule: ribosomal RNA, 468 nt
Filed under: uncultured bacterium
Lineage: Bacteria
Description: partial 16S ribosomal RNA
Rfam family: Bacterial small subunit ribosomal RNA
Source: RNAcentral
GACGAACGCUGGCGGCGUGCUUAACACAUGCAAGUCGAACGGAAAGGCCCUGCUUUUGUGGGGAGCUCGAGUGGCGAACGGGUGAGUAACACGUGAGUAACCUGCCCUUGACUUUGGGAUAACUUCAGGAAACUGGGGCUAAUACCGGAUAGGAGCUCCUGCUGCAUGGUGGGGGUUGGAAAGUUUCGGCGGUUGGGGAUGGACUCGCGGCUUAUCAGCUUGUUGGUGGGGUAGUGGCUUACCCAGGCUUUGACGGGUAGCCGGCCUGAGAGGGUGACCGGCCACAUUGGGACUGAGAUACGGCCCAGACUCCUACGGGAGGCAGAAGUGGGGAAUAUUGCACAAUGGGCGGAAGCCUGAUGCAGCAACGCCGCGUGCGGGAUGACGGCCUUCGGGUUGUAAACCGCUUUCGCCUGUGACGAAGCGUGAGUGACGGUAAUGGGUAAAGAAGCACCGGCUAACUACGUG